AUUGAACGCUGGCGGCAUGCCUUACACAUGCAAGUCGAACGGUAACAGGUCUUCGGAUGCUGACGAGUGGCGAACGGGUGAGUAAUACAUCGGAACGUGCCUAGCAGUGGGGGAUAACUACUCGAAAGAGUGGCUAAUACCGCAUGAGAUCUACGGAUGAAAGCAGGGGAUCGCAAGACCUUGUGCUACUAAAGCGGCCGAUGGCAGAUUAGGUAGUUGGUGGGAUAAAAGCUUACCAAGCCGACGAUCUGUAGCUGGUCUGAGAGGACGAUCAGCCACACUGGGACCGAGACACGGCCCAGACUCCUACGGGAGGCGGCAGUGGGGAAUUUUGGACAAUGGGCGAAAGCCUGAUCCAGCAAUGCCGCGUGCAGGAUGAAGGCCUUCGGGUUGUAAACUGCUUUUGUACGGAACGAAAAGCCCCGGGUUAAUACCCUGGGGUCAUGACGGUACCGUAAGAAUAAGCACCGGCUAACUACGUGCCAGCCGCCGCCGUAA
This 498-nucleotide ribosomal RNA is filed under the name uncultured bacterium. RNAcentral's name for it is "partial 16S ribosomal RNA". It matches the Rfam family "Bacterial small subunit ribosomal RNA", at positions 30 to 523 of the family's 1533-position model. The record is from RNAcentral.